UUUUUUAUAAAAAUAAUUUAUUUGUUUAUAGUUUUAGUAUUAAUUAAAAAUUAAUUUGUAGAUUUAUAGUUUAAUAGUAUUGUAAAAGAAAUUGUUAAAUUUUAAAAAGAAUUUUUAGUACCUUUUGUAUCAGGGUUGAUUAAAAUUUUUAAUUUUUUUUUAAUUUCUCAAAAUUUAUAGAGUUAAUUUUAUUAUUAAUUUAUUGUUUUAUAAAUAUUUAAAAAAUAAUAUUGGUUUUGAAAUUUAAUUCGUUAUAUUAUAUUUAGUUAUUUAAGAUUUAAAUUUAAUUUAAAAUUUUAAAAGUUAUAUUAAUUUUAUUGAUUAAUAUUUUAAAUUUAAAUUAUUUUAGGGAUAAGCUUGAAAUUUUUAUAUAAUAAUUUAUUUAUAUUAAUAAUUUAUAGGAAUAGAAAUUUUUAUUUUAAGUUUGUAAAAAUUUAUUAUUUGUUUAAUUUUAAUUUAUUAUAUUAUUAUUUAUUUUUUUUAUUAAAUUUUAUUAAUUAAUAUUUAAUUAAUAGUAAUAAUGAUUAAAUUAGUAUAAUAUAUAUAUAUUUAUAAAUUAUGAAUUCGGCAAAAAUUAUUUUCAUCUGUUUAACAAAAACAUUGUAUUAAGUUUAAUUUAAUAUAGGAUCUGCUCAAUGAUUUAUUAAAUAGCUGCAGUAUUUUGACUGUGCAAAGGUAGCAUAAUAAUUAGUCUUUUAAUUGAGGACUUGAAUGAAAGAUUUGAUGAGAAAUAGACUUUAUUAUUUAUAAAAUUAAAAUUUUAUUUUUAAGUAAAAAAGCUUAAAUUAUUUAAAGGGACGAUAAGACCCUAUAAAACUUUAUAAAUUUUGAUUUUAAUUUUUUUUUGGAUUUAUAAAUAUUUUAUAAUUUAAAUUUAUUUUAUUGGGGUGAUAAAAAAAAUUGUUAAACUUUUUUUAAAAUUCUACAUUAUUUAAUGAAUAUUUGAAUUAAAAUUUUUAAUUAAAGGAAAAAGUUACUUUAGGGAUAACAGCGUAAUUAAUUUUUUAAGUUCAAAUUUAAAAAUUAGUUUGCGACCUCGAUGUUGAAUUAAGAUUAAUCUUAGGUGCAAAAUUUUAAGUAUUAGGUCUGUUCGACCUUUAAA
Molecule: ribosomal RNA, 1102 nt
Filed under: Aphis horii
Lineage: Eukaryota; Metazoa; Arthropoda; Insecta; Hemiptera; Aphididae
Description: partial 16S large subunit ribosomal RNA
Source: RNAcentral